CGGCGCCGUCGGGGGCCCCUCAGACUGUCGGGAUCCUCCGGGAUCCUCCGGGAUCCGGGACACCUCAGACUGCCGGGAUCCUCCGGGAUCCUCCGGGAUCCGGGACCCCUCAGACUGCCGGGAUCCUCCGGGAUCCUCUGGGAUCCUCCGGGAUCCGGGACCCCUCAGACGCCCGGGAUGUUCCGGGAUCCUCCGGGAUCCGGGGCCCCUCAGACUGCCGGGAUCCUCCGGCACCGCCCGGGGCCCUCCGGGAUCCUCUGAGGCCCCUCAGACCUUGAGGACCUGCGGGGAUCCCCCGGGCCCCCGGAAUGUCGGAGCUGUGCCUUUGAGCCAGUUAGCCGUUCCCUCAGGCUCGAGGCUGCAAACCUUUGUGAGGAGAGGCCAGGAACGGCACCUCUCAGGUGAAACGAUGCUGAGGGUUGUCGUUCCCAGCGGGAGUUCCACUUGAACCGUACAAGAGCAAGCUGAAGUAAAUUGUGAUCGUGAUUAUUGCCUUUUGGGGGUUUUCCCUGUGUCCCCCACGAGGUACCAAGAAAGUUUUAGUCAUGAGGACGACUCAUCCAAGCGGAGUGCAUUGCCUCAGUCCUGUGCCGUGCAGAACUCUGCCAAGGCUUUUUGUCUCGACAAACCAAGUGGUGUGACGAGUGUGAAGGAUUUUCCCAUGGCAGAGGUGUGUAAUGUGAAGUAAAAGGGCUCGGGGCCCUGCGGCGCCGGGCGGGUGACCGGCUGCGCCGAGACACAGGAGCCGAUGAGUCAGCAGGAAGCUCCCAGAGUCCGGGGGCACAGAUUGGGAGGGGAUAAACGUCCGGGGAAUCCUUUGUAGGGGGCCCUGCCCGAGGCACCAGCUCGAGCUGCUACUGUGUGUCUGCACCACGUUUAAAUUACUUAAGGAACAAGAGUUUUGUAGGACUCUGCCACGGGAAACCUGGAGUCGAGCUGCUGCAACUGUUAGUUGGCUCUUGCCGUAAUUGAUGGACACUGCCAGUUGCUUAGACAGAUGGGAAUUAAUGCUGGUGUUCCCAUUAGAACUUGCCAUCACAAUCGCGUUGGCGUUGCUCUCCUGCGCAGAGUUGAUGUGUGUAAGCCGGGGUGUUUGGAAGGAGCAAGCACAGCUCAUACCUGCAGUCCUUCCUUCCGAUGUAUUGGAGCCACCGAUCCAACACAGAGCAGAUGAGCUGCUUGCCAGCAGCUUAUAGAACACUUCACAAUGGUAAUGAAAAUGCUUCAUUCCUUGAUGUUCAGAGGAACGUGGUUCAGCGAGCUGGACUGUCAUCCCCGGAGGCAUCUGUGAGCUGUAUUCAGAGGGUGUUGCAGGGCCUUGUAUCCCAGUCACCUCCUCUGGAUCUCCAGUGACCUGGCACAGCCGCAGCAGGACCUCCCAGGUGACUACUGUGAGGCACAGCCAGAGGUGAAGAAAGAGCAGGAUGGUCCCUCCCACUUCCACUGACUGACAGCAAAGCCAGCUUCUAUGAGAAGAGCCACUCCUGCCGGGAUGAGCACCUGUGAGGCCACCAGGACGGACCCUCCUGACCCUCAGCCCAGGUCACAGGGUGAGGCCAUGAUUCCACUGACCAGGAGCACCCCUCUGGAGGAAGCACUGCUAUCCACAGGGUUCAGAUCCAGGCUUCUUUUGGCCCUUCAGCACAACAGAACUCUGUGAUUAAAAAGGAAACUAGAGGAGGAAGUGCAGAAGAACCACAAAGGUAACUGGUGACAUGGCCCCACCUCAGAGGACUCAGCACUGUCAGUGUCUCUCACUGCAGGUAGUGCUGGUGGCAGUCACCAUGCAGAAUAUAAUGCUUUUGUGUAAUGCAGAGAUGCUAAAAAAGUAACAGUUUAAACAGAUGUUUGUGUUAACUCUGUACCCAUUAAUUUCAAAGAACCUUUAAAGCAAAUACUAAUAGGCUUAAAACUAAAAACAAGCACGAGUGUUUUCCUUUUUAAUAGGCUGUUUUGUACAUGAAAGUACCAGCUGAAAGCAUUCUGCACUUCUACUCUAUUCUGAUUCUUUUAGAAUGAGCUAUAAUCCUUUUUCCCUUUUUACCCGUUGCACCUAUUUGCACCCUGAUAGGGCAAAAUCUUCACUACAACUGCCACAGGCUAUUUGUGGACUUAAAAGACAUUUGUGUGCAUAAAUGCACACAGGAUCAGAGUCUCACCCACCAUCGUAUUGCGACAAGCUCAAAGAAUCCAGAACCCUGAUCACCUUUUGGUGCUAAACUAUGAGUUGGAAAAUAAACACAAGGAUUUAGAGGAAAGACCAGAACCCUGGGGCUGACGCUGUGACUCUGCAUGAGGCUGUGUUCCCAGGCAGCCCUAGACUCCUGGGAAGAGGGGCUCGGUACAGACCCCUAGACACUGAACUGGUUUAUGAGAGUACCCCAAACUGCUGUGGCUUAGUCUUCUUUGCCCCUUUAAUAAAAGAAAGAAGAAAGUCUAGCUAGGAGCAUGGACGCAGGGUAAUGCAUCAUUUAUAAAUUACCUUGUUAGUGCAGAAAACAACACAUGGCUCUGCAGCCGAAAUCUCCUGCUGCGGACUCGCUCUGUUUGAUGGGAGCCCUUCAAAAGCAUUGGUGGCUUAAUGGAGGCAGUUUGUGGGGACCCCGCUCCGUACCUGCUGUCCCUGUGCCUCGCCGGGAGCUCGGCGGCAGCUGCCGCGGCGUGCAGCUGUCUCUGAAGUGGCUGCGUGUCCUCCGCCCCAGCACAGGCAGCCUGCAUUGGAUCUGUGUUUGUGCCUGAGGCGAGCUGGGGAGCGCAGCUGUGUCCACCCCGCGCUACCUUUGGUGUUCGGGCCCCCGGGCCCCGCGCCGCCCCGACCUGCCCCACGCGCUCCUGCAGCUGCCGCUGCCCGCGCUCCCACGGCGCCAGGCCCGCCACAGCUGUGCCCACAACCUGCCCGCUCGCACCUGUGCCGUGCCCGCCUCAAACAGCGCGGCUCGGAGGACUUCAGCCACCAUCAGAGCCUCCCGGCGCCGAGCCACCCUCGGCACCGCCGGGCACGUGGCACCAGUGGGACAGGACAGGGAGGCAGGAACAGCUUGCUCUGCUUUGAUACCUCAUGCCUAAAUUGCAACUGCUUGAUCAAGGACUCAAAUUCAGCAAUGAAUUCUUCUACAAAUGGAAGUACUGAGUUCUUCAACAGUAAAAGAAGGAAGAUUAAAUAGAACAACUCCAUGGCUGCUGUUUCCAAGCACUGAACUUCAUACCAGGAAAAUAAUCAAAAUUCUCAUUACCUCCCAUUCUACCACAGAGCUGCCCAGCCCAGCCGUCCCUUGCCCGCCCCGCGCCGCACACCAACCUCGUCUCCUUGCUGGGGCCGCAUCAGCGAGACUCUGUCGUACUGCCGCCGCAGCAGCGCCCACAGCGCGUCCAGCCGGCCCUGCGGAGACAGCACGGGCGUCCGUCAGCGGGGAGCACCUCACCUGCACCGGGACUGGCCACAGGGAUCCCAGGGACACAGCCAGGUCAGCACAGGAAGCUGUGAGAGCAAUCAAGUUGCUGGAGGAACAGCAGAAGAACAGAGGACAGAGAAGCAGUGAAAACCAGACAACUGUGUUGCCACACAGACUGCAAACAGGGAAGAAAUGUCAUGACUAGUGCAGCAGUUUUGUUGCUGGCCACAGCACAGAAACCACCUCUAACUGCCAGGAAACCAGGCACUGCCAGGGAAGCAGACCCAGAAGGAAGGAAGAACAGGUCAUGCCUGGGCCUAAUGCUGCCCCUCUCCUUGAGGACACUGCCCUGAAGCCCAGGACUACAGAGCCACAAGGGGCCCUUCCAGGUGAUGUCCGAGCCUCAGGGGCAGGAGAGAGGGGCAGGAACAGAGGCACAGCACAAGAACCCAAGGAGCAGCCAGCAAGACCAAAGAAAGGUGUUCCUUAUCCACAUGAUAUAAAGUGGGAGCAAAGUGACUGACAGAAACCUCCCUGUAUUUCUGAUGUUGGGCCUGUGCCGUGGAGAACGAGACACGAGAGAGGCUUUUUAUUACAGAAGAGGUCAUUGUUGUCGUCUCAGGAACCCCAGACCGUGAGGGGGCAGAUGGAGGCUGAGGACUUCCUGCCCUCAGACAGCUUGGGGCCCCCCGGGCCCCCUGGAUUAUGGGAGCUGCACGUGGUCAGGAUCUGUUUCCCACCCCUGAGUCCCAGUGCGGUGGCUGUUCCCCAUGGUCUGUACUCACCACUUUGCAGCACAGGGGCCAGAACCACCAGAGCAGGCCGAGUGCCACCAGCAGCAGCAGCACGAGGACGGCAAUGAGCGCUGCCACACCACUGGACUGCAGAGAGAGCAGGGACAGCGUCAGCACGGGCUGCACAACUCUGCCUGGCUCACACACUCACCCCAAAGCCCAGGAUUAGUUCUGCUCAAGUCAGGGAUGCAUUCUCAUGUGAAACCAAUAUAAAACUGAUACUCCUGAGAUCGGACUCAGGCCAAGCUAGACGAAAAGGGAGAGUGCAUUGACUGCUAAGGAACGAGCCAUUAGACACAGGCAGGGGAAGUCUCCUAGACCUGUGGAUGAGAAGUGCCCUUCUGCUCCAUGAGGACACAGGUUACUGAUCUACAGGCAAAAGCAAUCCUGUUGGAGAAAUGCAGGCUGACGAGCAGAAGGGACUGUUCUCGGUGCUCCACGCCUGAUGGGAAAGCUGCUCUCAAGUCACACUUCAGAUGAGACACAUUUAAAGGCACACGGUGCCCAUGCACAGCACGUGUUAAACACUGGGGGCUUGUGUCUCCCUGCACAAAUCCCAACUGUCCUGCCCACGUAAUGGAGAGCAGACAUGCAAGACUAGAAAAUUUUAUUAAUCUAUUGAUUGUAUAAAGGUACUAAGUUCAACAGUCACUCUCUGCACAAGUGUGUGGUUUCUCCCAGAAGCAGUUUUAACUCUUUUCCAUAACCUGUGAUCAGACUCAGCAGGAUGUUCACCCUGCCUUACCCCCAGGUGUAACUGGGGUGCUCCAGCCUGUGCUUGGACUGCCUGUCUCCCCAAAUUAACAGAGUUAAGAGCCUACACUCGUUACUCAGGCUCCAGAGUUACGGAGCAGCAGUACCCUCCUGCAGGACUGUAACUGCCCUCCACAGCCAGGCUGAAGUCCCACGGUUCUGCCUGCUCUGCUCCCCCUCCCUCACUCAGGGAAGCCAGGCUGAAAUGGGACCCCCGGUGACUGUGUCACACCUGCCCCUUGGGACGUGGUUAUAUUUACAGUGAGCAGGUCUCUGAGGGCAGGGAAGCCUCCCAGUAUUUUGAAAGCCACAGCUUUCCACAGGGAAGUGGAAUCAGAGAUUCCCUGCACUGAGAGGUCCCACAAUGGCCAAGCCCUAAGAGAAAUGGGAUUUGGGAAUUUUACACAGGAUUGUGGUGGUCUUUUACUUACACACUCCGAAGCGGUGAUGGUUAACGAGCUGGACAUGAAAGACUGGCCUUCCUUCAAACUCACCAAAACCUCCAGGGUUCUGCAAAGAGACAGAGAAAAAACAUGAGCGACCGUGGAGCAGUCAAGAAAGGCUCACACCUGCUCCAGAGGCUCCUGUAUCUGAAGCCUCUGCUCCACAGAGAGUGUCCCCAGAGGGGAAAUGGAGGCCUGUGCUUAGUCUUGUUUGGGAGUAAGUUUGGUCUCCUUGACAGAGCUAUAUGAGUAGAGACUAUCCCUCCUCUUUUCCGUGCAGCAUAAAAUACUCCCAAAAGUUUUACAUAAAAUAAAUUGAAGUUCAGCUGUGAAAUCGGCAUUGUUUUGUCUGUUCCAUAACCAUCUCUUUAGUCACAUGCAGGCAUUAUGGAUAAAAAUGUUGGAUAAUUAUAGAUGGUCAGGACUUGCUAUAAAUAGCCCCAAACACUGCAUACAAAUGGUAUGUGGUUUACAUUUUACAAAUUAACCCUACAAGAAAACAACACAUGGUGGAUGUUAAACAGAAGAAGACUCUUCUCUGGCUUGGAUUCCCAGGAUUCAGACAGUUUAUAUUAUGCAUAGAUGUAAUUAAAUAAAAAUAUAGAUAUCCAUGAACUAAAAUGAUUAAUCAUUUAUACCAUUCUUACAUGUCAUGAGUUUUUAUUCUGGCACAAACGCUUAAGUCAAUAUGGAGUUCAAAGCUAUUUUAACUAAUUUGGCUAAUUUCUUCUUCAUUGGUAGCAAAAAUGAAGUGAGUUGCUUCCACUAAACUAAUUUUUAAAUUAUCUGUGUCAUGAAUAAUUGAUCCAACAGAAAGAAUAACUCUAAUUUCUUUCUAAUUAUUCCUGGAAUAAGUGAAUCAGAACAGAUAAAAAAAAAUCUAUUCUCUUGCAGCACACUAAAUAAAACAAACUACACCAGAAAUUUUGUCAGACAUGAA
Long non-coding RNA from Pseudopipra pipra, 6322 nucleotides. RefSeq lists it as uncharacterized. The record is from RefSeq and is a predicted model, not a curated record. The transcript is spliced from 15 exons. NCBI's taxonomy places the organism in Eukaryota, Metazoa, Chordata, Aves, Passeriformes, Pipridae.